AAGUCGUAACAAGGUUUCCGUAGGUGAACCUGCGGAAGGAUCAUUAUCGAAAAUAAAGGGUUGUCUGCUGGCCUCUCGGGGCGCGUGCACGCCCAAAUCCACAACACACCUGUGAACCCACCGUAGGCCCUCGGGCUUAUGUAUUAUCAUAUACUCUGAUCAUAGAAUGUAAAUAUUUUGCCUUAAAAACGCAAUGAAAUACAACUUUCAACAACGGAUCUCUUGGCUCUCGCAUCGAUGAAGAACGCAGCGAAAUGCGAUAAGUAAUGUGAAUUGCAGAUUUUCAGUGAAUCAUCGAAUCUUUGAACGCACCUUGCGCUCCUUGGUAUUCCGAGGAGCAUGCCUGUUUGAGUGUCAUUAAAUUCUCAACCCCAGCGGUUCGUUGGGGCUUGGACUUGGAGCGUGCUGGCGAAGGUCGGCUCCUCUUUAAAUGCAUCAGCGGAAAACGGAACUUUCCCUUCGGCGUGAUAAUAUCGUUGCGUCGUGGUGGGUCGGUUAAAGGGUCCCGCUCACAAUCGUCCUCGGACAAAAAUAAAAAACAUCUGUUUUGACCUCAGAUCAGGUAGGACUACCCGCUGAACUUAAGCAUAUCAAUAAGCGGAGGAAAAGAAACUAACAAGGAUUCCCCUAGUAACUGCGAGUGAAGCGGGAAGAGCUCAAAUUUAAAAUCUGGCGGUCGUCUGGCCGUCCGAGUUGUAAUCUGGAGAAGCGUUUUCCGCGUCGGACCGUGUACAAGUCUUCUGGAACGGAGCGUCAUAGAGGGUGAGAAUCCCGUCUCUGACACGGACUGCCGAUGCUUCAUGUGAUACGCUCUCGAAGAGUCGAGUUGUUUGGGAAUGCAGCUCAAAAUGGGUGGUAAAUUCCAUCUAAAGCUAAAUACUGGCGAGAGACCGAUAGCGAACAAGUACCGUGAGGGAAGGAUGAAAAGCACUUUGGAAAGAGAGUUAAACAGUACGUGAAAUUGUUGAAAGGGAAACGUUUGAAGUCAGUCGCGUCGGCCGGGACUCAACCUUGCUAUCUUGCUCGGUGCACUUCUCGGUUGACGGGUCAGCAUCAAUUUUGACCGUCGGAUAAAGGUCGAGGGAACGUGGCAUCCUCCGGGGUGUGUUAUAGCCCUUGGUUCGCAUACGACGAUUGGGAUUGAGGAACUCAGCACGCCUUCAUUGGUCGGGGCUUAAUCGCUCACGUUAACGUGCUUAGGAUGCUGGCAUAAUGGCUUUAAGCGACC
Molecule: ribosomal RNA, 1228 nt
Filed under: uncultured fungus
Lineage: Eukaryota; Fungi
Description: eukaryotic LSU rRNA
Rfam family: Eukaryotic large subunit ribosomal RNA (bases 549-1228)
Source: RNAcentral